CAGCCGCCACGGUAAAACGAAGGGUGCAAGCGUUACUCGGAAUUACUGGGCGUAAAGCGUGCGUAGGUGGUGGUUUAAGUCCGUUGUGAAAGCCCUGGGCUCAACCUGGGAAUUGCAGUGGAUACUGGGUCACUAGAGUGUGGUAGAGGAUAGUGGAAUUUCCGGUGUAGCAGUGAAAUGCGUAGAGAUCGGAAGGAACAUCUGUGGCGAAGGCGACUAUCUGGGCCAACACUGACACUGAGGCACGAAAGCGUGGGGAGCAAACAGGAUUAGAUACCCGUGUAGUCCCUGUCUCUUAUAC
Molecule: ribosomal RNA, 301 nt
Filed under: uncultured bacterium
Lineage: Bacteria
Description: partial 16S ribosomal RNA
Rfam family: Bacterial small subunit ribosomal RNA
Source: RNAcentral